Molecule: long non-coding RNA, 1900 nt
Organism: Pyrus x bretschneideri (Chinese white pear)
Lineage: Eukaryota; Viridiplantae; Streptophyta; Magnoliopsida; Rosales; Rosaceae
Exons: 3
Source: RefSeq, a predicted model, not a curated record
CAUUUCCGGGGACGUGAAAACGGCGUCGUAGAAGGGUGGAGGAGCGUGGGAACUAACGACAUUUAGGGGUUAAUAAGAGAGUGGGGAAUAGAAGAGGGGGAAGAAGGAAGCUUGAAGAGGACGAGAGAGAGAGAAAGAGAGAGAGAGAAUCGAAUAAUUAGAGAGAAUGUUUGGAAUUGUUGCGGGAAAUGAAAGCGAAGGGUGGGAAUUUUGAAUUGGUGAAGGGUGAUUGUGGAUUUGGUGCUUGGUUUCCAUCGCCUUCACUUCAUUUCAGUAUCUCUGGUUUGGAUGAUUGCUUGAUUGAACCCUUUCUGUUUGGGACUUUGGAUCCCACCAACCUCCAAACCUCCAAAUACUUGCUCCCUUUCCUUACAAACCAUAAAAUAAUCGGACCAGAAUCUGACGGCUGAGAUUGGGCGAGCUCACGCGUAGAACCGGGUAAUCUGCUACAUCGAACGGGUCAAAUUUCCCCGGGCAAAAUCAGUCUCCUCCCCUUUUUCUGCAGACCACUCCAUCAAUUUCUUUGUCAAUUUCCCCCCCAGCGAGUCGGGAGUGCUGAGCGUGAAGAGCAGCGGCACUUCUUCAAACAGAAAGAUAGGAUAUUUUGUCGCUAAGAAGAAGAUUGAGAGCUCUUCAAGCAAGCAGGCAGCUGAUUUCAAGCACAAAUUUGUGCACACUGUCACAAAAACUGAGGUUGAACCCAUCACCCAUGUCAAAUAUUUGAUUAAUUUUUUGAAUUUUUUAACUUUUUGACCUCAAAGUUGUCUUCUUUGGAUUGGUUUUUCAAUUGGGUGAAUUGGGUUUGAGGGGUUGUGAAUUGAUUUAGCUGUUUUUGAUGGACUAUGAGAUGUUUUAAUGACUCGCUAUAGAGCCUAAGCUAAAGUCCCAAGAGCAACAUUCUGGCCACCACCUUCUGGGACAACCAGGUGCAAUGCUGGGAGAUACACCAGAGUGGACAAAAUCUUGCUAGUGUGGCCAAGGCAUCCAUACCCCCACGACCAACCGGUUUAGUGCUCAACUUGGAAGGAUGAUGGAUCUACUGUGUUCUCUGGUGGUUGUGACAAGCAAGUUAAGAGUGGCCUUUGGCUGGUAACCAACCAGUGACCGCUACAUACAUGAUGCACCCAUAAAAGAGGUUGCUUGGGAUCCCGGAGGAAAUGAACUACUUAGUCACAGGAAUCUGAGGAGAGAGGAGGCACGACACAGGUGUAAGCUAUGACAAUUACAGGGUGUACUCCAGCGCGAGCUUCCCAGGUAGUUGGAACCCAAGCCUUGUCUACAUUAAUUUUGAUGAGUGGACUUUGAGGGGCUUUGCAAGUGAUGGUUCUCUGUACUGCAGGCCCAUGGAGAGAUAGGAAAAUUGAUUGUACUGAUGCAAUGUCCGAUACAAGCUUGGUGCCCUGUCGUUGAAAAUAGCCGAGCAUCGCUCUUUCCACAUUAAUUCUGGAAGGUUAGAUGCUACCGGUUAAUUAGCCAUAGAAGAUGCCAGCAGUCUAGAGACACCAUAGUUGGAGUUGGCCCAGGAAUAGUCAUCAAAGGCAGAGGGUGAGUGCGAUCGGUGAUGAGCAAAUAAUUGCUGGGAAUUUGAAGCAUGUCAAUUUUAUAAGUGGGCACCGCCAACGCCAUCAAUUUUAUAAGCACUUAUUUGUCGACGAUAUUCCUAUGUCAAGACACAACUCACAAGCCGGACGAGUCUCUGAAAUAGUUAGAAAAACCCGUGACCCUCUAUUCUCUCAUGUUUCAGCUACUUUUUUGUCUCUUUUCCUUCUACUUUAAAGCUUCACGAGCACCAAAAUUGCUACGUGAAGACAAGUAUCUAGCAAAUAGUUAAAACCGCACACAAGAUAUUUACCUUUUGCUCAAGGUUUAAAUAUUAAAAUGCCCUCCAUCUUUUUCGAUA